Non-coding RNA from Acanthosepion pharaonis, 103 nucleotides. The record is from the annotation of a GenBank genome assembly. NCBI's taxonomy places the organism in Eukaryota, Metazoa, Mollusca, Cephalopoda, Sepiida, Sepiidae.
CAGCCACAUCACAUUGAAACACUGGUUCUCAAAUAAUCACCAAAGUUAAGCAACACUGAGCCUGGUCAGUACCUAGAUGGGUGACCAUUUGGAAAUACCUGGU